This 715-nucleotide small RNA is filed under the name Pan troglodytes (chimpanzee). Its description in RNAcentral is "retained intron". The record is from RNAcentral. Lineage: Eukaryota; Metazoa; Chordata; Mammalia; Primates; Hominidae.
CCGCUUCGGCACCUCCCUGGCCCAGAGGACAAAGAAGGGCAGCUCCGGCAGUGGCUCUGACUCACCUCACAGAACCUCUACUUCAGAUCUUGUGGAGGUUCCUGAGGAAGCCAAUGGGCCAGGAGGCGGGUAUGACCUAAGGAAACGCAGCAACAGCGUGUUUACAUAUCCAGAAAAUGGCACUGAUGAUUUCAGAGAUCCAGCGAAGAACAUAAACCACCAGGGAUCUCUUUCCAAAGACCCAUUACAGAUGAACACCUAUGUUGCCUUGUACAAAUUUGUACCACAGGAGAAUGAAGAUUUGGAAAUGAGGUAAAAACCUUCUGUAAAGAAACAAAAGAGUAAAAUUUUAAAGUCAGUAUUUCUCCAUGUGAAAAAGUAAGUCCAUCUGUGCCCCUCCUAAUGCUUUAUAGCUGUGAUUCUCAAACUUUAGCAUGUAUCUAAUGACCUGCAAGGCUGGUUAACACACAGGCCCUGUCCCCAGAGUUUUUGAUUCAUCAGAUCUGAGGCAGGGCCUAAGAAGUUGCAUUCCUAAGGAGUUCCCAGGUGGCACUGACAAUGCUGUCCAAGGAACACACUUUGGGAAGCACCACUUUAGUACAUGCUCAACAGAACUGCUAAUGGGAGUUUUCAUGAAGGUUGAACGUUAAAUGCACUUGGCAUCUGGUGGGGCCUAAUAGGGAAUCAAAAUAUGUAUUUAAUCAAAUAUCAGAUA